CCCCAGUCUUCCCCUUCCUCCUUCUUCCUCUCCCUCCCUAACCCCGCACCUUCGGACCUCCUCCUCCCCUCCACCCCCGGCUGCCUGCCGGAGCCCCCACGCCGGAGUGAGUGGGAAGCCCCACCGCCAACAAGUCUGGCCUCUGGCUAGAGAAGGGGCGGGCGAGCGCAGCCGCAGACGGCGCGCGUCCUGCAGAGAGAGAGAGAGGAGAGAGCGAACUGAGGUUGUACUUCAUGCAGAGUAGUAGAAGAAAAGAGGACAGUACCCCAUCGCUAAGAGCAUCCUGAGGUGGAUCACUUUGCUGUUCUUUCUGCUUACACCAGAUCGCCUCUGCUGGAAAUACGUAGAAGUUAUUCUCAAAACUCAGUGUGCUGGGGCGCCUGGGUGGCUCAGUUGGUUAAGCGACUGCCUUCGGCUCAGGUCAUGAUCCUGGAGUCCCAGGAUCGAGUCCCGCAUCGGGCUCCCUGCUCAGCAGGGAGUCUGCUUCUCCCUCUGACCCUCUUCCCUCUCGUGCUCUCUAUCUCUCAUUCUCUCCCUCUCAAAUAAAUAAAUAAAAUCUUAAAAAAAAAAAACUCAGUGUGCUGGAAUCAGCAUUUCCCCCCAUAUUUGCUGGGAAAGAGCCC
RNAcentral lists this long non-coding RNA (623 nucleotides) under Zalophus californianus (California sea lion). Its description in RNAcentral is "lncRNA (ENSZCAG00015002596.1)". Lineage: Eukaryota; Metazoa; Chordata; Mammalia; Carnivora; Otariidae. The record is from RNAcentral.